AUACGUAUGGGGCGAGCGUUAUCCGGAAUCAUUGGGCGUAAAGCGCGCGUAGGCGGCUGUCCAAGCGGGGCGUCAAAUCCCGGGGCUCCACCCCGGGCCGCGCCCCGAACUGGGCGGCUUGAGUCCGGUAGGGGGAGGCGGAAUUCCCGGUGUAGCGGUGAAAUGCGCAGAUAUCGGGAAGAACACCGGUGGCGAAGGCGGCCUCCCGGGCCGCGACUGACGCUGAGGCGCGAAAGCUAGGGGAGCGAACAGGAUUAGAUACCCUGGUAGUCCUAGCCGUAAACGAUGGGCACUAGGUGUGGGGGAGACCGAUCCUCCGUGCCGCAGCCAACGCAUUAAGUGCCCCGCCUGGGGAGUACGGCCGCAAGGCUAAAACUCAAAGGAAUUGACGGGG
This 394-nucleotide ribosomal RNA is filed under the name uncultured bacterium. Its description in RNAcentral is "partial 16S ribosomal RNA". It matches the Rfam family "Bacterial small subunit ribosomal RNA", at positions 523 to 918 of the family's 1533-position model. The record is from RNAcentral.